RNAcentral lists this ribosomal RNA (1261 nucleotides) under uncultured bacterium. RNAcentral's name for it is "bacterial SSU rRNA". It matches the Rfam family "Bacterial small subunit ribosomal RNA", at positions 233 to 1533 of the family's 1533-position model. The record is from RNAcentral.
GCACCAAAUACAAAUCCGAAGUCGUGUUAUAGAUUAGCGCGGUCCUAAGAGAGGUGAACAGGCCACAUUGGACUGAGAAACCGGGCCCAAACUCUACCGGAGGCAGGCAGUUGGGGAAUAUUGGCAACAAUGGGGAACUGAAUGCAGCGACGCCCGCGUGAGUGAAAGAAGCAUUUCGGUGCGGUAAAGCUCUGUCAGCAGGAAAGAAAAGUGACGGUACCUGACCAAGAAGCCCCGGCUAACUACGUGCCAGCAGCCGCGGUAAUACGUAGGGGGCAAGCGUUAUCCGGAUUUACUGGGUGUAAAGGGAGCGUAGACGGCGUGGCAAGUCUGAAGUGAAAGGCGGGGGCCCAACCCCCGGACUGCUUUGGAAACUGUCAUGCUUGAGUGCGGGAGGGGCAAGCGGAAUUCCUAGUGUAGCGGUGAAAUGCGUAGAUAUUAGGAGGAACACCGGUGGCGAAGGCGGCUUGCUGGACCGUAACUGACGUUGAGGCUCGAAGGCGUGGGGAGCAAACAGGAUUAGAUACCCUGGUAGUCCACGCGGUAAACGAUGAUCACUAGGUGUCCGGGGACACGGUCUCCGGGUGCCGCAGCCAACGCAGUAAGUGAUCCACCUGGGGAGUACGUUCGCAAGAAUGAAACUCAAAGGAAUUGACGGGGACCCGCACAAGCGGUGGAGCAUGUGGUUUAAUUCGAAGCAACGCGAAGAACCUUACCCGGCCUUGACAUCCCCCUGAAUUACGGGCAACGCCGUAAGCCCUUCGGGGCAGGGGAGACAGGUGGUGCAUGGUUGUCGUCAGCUCGUGUCGUGAGAUGUUGGUUAAGUCCCGCAACGAGCGCAACCCUUACGUUUAGUAGCCAGCGGCUAGGCCGGGCACUCUAGACGGACUGCCGGGGACAACCCGGAGGAAGGCGGGGAUGACGUCAAAUCAUCAUGCCCCUUAUGGCCGGGGCUACACACGUGCUACAAUGGCGUAAACAAAGGGAGGCGAGGGAGCGAUCCGGAGCGAAUCCCAAAAAUAACGUCCCAGUUCGGAUCGCAGUCUGCAACUCGACUGCGUGAAGCUGGAAUCGCUAGUAAUCGCGAAUCAGAACGUCGCGGUGAAUGCGUUCCCGGGUCUUGUACACACCGCCCGUCACACCAUGGGAGUCGGAAACGCCCGAAGUCGGUGACCCAACCUUUAAGGAGGGAGCCGCCGAAGGCAGGUCCGAUAACUGGGGUGAAGUCGUAACAAGGUAAAUCACUGCCCGUCGAAAGCCC